Molecule: long non-coding RNA, 487 nt
Filed under: Apteryx owenii (little spotted kiwi)
Lineage: Eukaryota; Metazoa; Chordata; Aves; Apterygiformes; Apterygidae
Description: lncRNA (ENSAOWG00000014673.1)
Source: RNAcentral
AUGCUUGAUAUUGCUGCAGUUCCCUGGUUCUGGAUUUGGUCUCCCAAUUAUAAACCCCUGUUAAAUCAGAAAAAUGGUAUUUCUCCUUUAGCAAAUGUUAAUAAAAUUUUAAGGAUGUACUCUACUUGCAGAUCUUUUCUCGGGGCAAUUCCCACCAACCAAGGUGGGGAGAAGAGCAAGGACUGUGUGCGAGACAUCCUUCUUCCGAUGCUGUUGGAGGAAGCAGCAGUCCGUGCAGCUCAGACCCACGGCACGGCUGGGGCUGGGGGGCACCUCUGGAGACCGUCCAGCCCUGCUCCAGCAGGUCGCCUUGAGCAAGUUGCCCAGCACUGUGUCCAGCCGCAUUGGGAAUAUUUCCAGGGAUGGAGAUGCUACAACCUCUCUGGGCAACCUGUGCUGGUGUCUGACCACCCUCACAGUAAAAAAGCUUUUUCUGUUGUUUAGCCUGUAUUUCAGCUUGUGCCCAUUGCCUCUGGUCCUGUCGCUG